UACGGAGGGUGCUAGCGUUGUUCGGAAUCACUGGGCGUAAAGGGCUCGUAGGCGGCCAACUAAGUCAGACGUGAAAUCCCUCGGCUUAACCGGGGAACUGCGUCUGAUACUGGAUGGCUUGAGAUUGGGAGAGGGAUGCGGAAUUCCAGGUGUAGCGGUGAAAUGCGUAGAUAUCUGGAGGAACACCGGUGGCGAAGGCGGCAUCCUGGACCAACACUGACGCUGAGGAGCGAAAGCCAGGGGAGCAAACGGG
This 253-nucleotide ribosomal RNA is filed under the name uncultured bacterium. RNAcentral's name for it is "partial 16S ribosomal RNA". It matches the Rfam family "Bacterial small subunit ribosomal RNA", at positions 524 to 776 of the family's 1533-position model. The record is from RNAcentral.